GGGGUCAUAGCUCAGUUGGUAGAGUGUUUGAAUGGCAUUCAAAAGGUCGGGGGUUCGAUCCCCCCUGGCUCCACCA
RNAcentral lists this transfer RNA (76 nucleotides) under Rickettsia asiatica. RNAcentral describes it as "tRNA-Ala". It matches the Rfam family "tRNA". Rfam says of the family: Transfer RNA (tRNA) molecules are approximately 80 nucleotides in length. Their secondary structure includes four short double-helical elements and three loops (D, anti-codon, and T loops). The record is from RNAcentral. Lineage: Bacteria; Pseudomonadati; Pseudomonadota; Alphaproteobacteria; Rickettsiales; Rickettsiaceae.